UUCCUGCAGCUGAAACCCAGGCCCACUCGGCGGGCACCCGUGCCUCUCCCCUGCCCUCAACCCAGCUCAUGCUCUUUGCUCUAACUCCGCAAUCUCUUGUCUCAGCAGGGAGCGGUGGAAGGCAAGAAAUUGCUGUAGGCACAUUUGAUCUGUGACAAAACUGCUGCCGGGUGUGAUGAAAAACGAGUUUGAACGGCUCGGAGAAGGACGUAGAGACUGCGUGCCGCGAUCUUACAGGCUGCCCGGGCUUCGCAGUUGCUCGGCCAGUGUGAGGAUUGGGGAGGCCUUUGGAGGAAGAAUGUGCUCAGGAUUCCAGGCCCGUCCCUUACACAGCACAAAGCUGAGGUAAACCUCACCUGGCCCCUUGCACUGCUCCCACAGCUCCCUGAGACAAGAGUUUGUGUCCUCUGUGUUAUUCUUCGUGCCUUACACCCAUCUCCUCCAGUACGGCCACUCUGUGAGCUCAGGGAGGAGUGGGGCUUCUCCUGUCCUCCAUCCUCCUCCCCGCAAGCCUCCUGCCUAGCUUUGCCUGCAGUGAAGAAUGAAUCCACGCUCCACAGAAGCGGCCUUGUACGACUUCCUUUUUGUAGCCAGGGUACCUGCAGCCUGAACAAAGGAAGCCCUUCGCUCCAGGUCAUCGGACAAUCCUGUGGUCACUGCCAGAGCCAUAGGCUACCCACCCAGCUCUCCUACCUCCUGCUCUAGCCAUGACUGGGCAACAGAACUACUCCACUCGUUCAUCGACUGAGUGAGCACCCAGGUUGACACUAAACUGAAUUUCCCAAACCUCAGCCCCUCAAAGAACCUCCUAACUCUUUUUUUGUUUUGUUUUUUGGUUUUUUUUUUUUUUUUUUUUUUUUUCUUUUUCAUUUUUAUCAGUACCAGGGAUCAAACUCACAACCGCACACUUGCAAGGCAGGCGCUUAUGCCGCUGAGCUAAAUCCCCAGCCCCAGAACCUCCUAACUCUUAGCAUAUCUUCAUUAUUUCUUUAAUGUUGUCUUUAAUCCAACUCACUUGCUUUAUUUAAAUAAAACACUGCAGGUAAUAACACCUCUGACAGUGCAGGUUUAAUAUACUAUUUUUUUCUACUGCACAUAAAAACAAAAUAUGUAACUUGUCAUAUAAAAGGUGGUCCUUGGUUUACCAUCUAAAUCAGCUCAGACACUGUGUGUCGGUACAAAGAUACUGUACUCUUUCGGCCAGAUGAAGUGAUUGCAUACAUCUCUAGGCUCAGGACUUGCUGCUGGAAAAAGGGAAUGAGCAUGGCUUCUCCACUUGCACGGCGGCGUAAUGAACACUUCUGAGGGGUGUGGACAGUUCAAAGGGCUUCCAGAUGAAGGAAGGGGGUCCGAGAAGUUCCAGUGACAAAGCCAAGGUCAUGCAGCUACUGAGAGCAGACACCAAAGAAGUCACUGCUGGUGGCCUGGAUGAACGAUGUUCCAACAGAUCCAUUUUGGGUUUUUCUUGUGUUUUGAGGUGAGGUCCCGCUACAUCGCACAGCUCAUGUCUAAUCCCUGGCCCAAGUGAUCCUGCUCCUCAGCCUCACAUGUACCUGGAGCUGCAAGUGUUGCCACCACACCUGACUCCCAAAGGAUUGUUCCAUUUUCGGCACACCUGUCAUCCUGGAGUGUAGACAGUGCAUCCUCCCUGUUACUUUCUAUUUAACUACUCCCUAAUUUACUAGCUUUUCCCAUCCUUUGUGUCCCCUACCUCAGCAUGUGCUGUGCACCAGGAUAGCUGGCAAAAGGAAUCAGGAUGCUGAGUGCCUUCCUUAGCGAAACUCGGAUGCGAGGUGGACACUUGAGGGGGACACCCGAGGACAUUCAGGCAUUCACACACCUGCUGUGUGCCAGACACCACACUGCAUGGAGAUUGUGACCCAGACAACUCUCCCUGAUGUGGCGGAGCUGACAAGAGCUGGGAGGGACAGGAACAAUAGGCCGAUGUCACUAAGAGAUUCCUUCUCACUGCCCCAUCGCCUCCACAUUGCAGCCGGGAAGAUUCUUCUCCAGAUGUAAAUCUGACUGACUCACACCUCAUUUCAGAGCCUUCAGUAACUUCCCACAAGCUUCUGCAUGCCUGACAUACUGGAGAGUUUUUUGUAUGUUAUUGAAAAUAUUAAUACUAACCAGGGGACCCACUAGUGAGGGAAAGUUUGACAGUUCUGGAACCUCCUUCUUAGGGCCUAAAUGUCUUGAAAUAUGCAGAUACUAAAGUCACUGAGCUGAGACUUGGGGAGAGGAAUGGAGUAAGAGAUGGAGUACAGGGUGGAAAUAUAAAAGAGCGUGCACCCACUUCUAGUGAAGACAGAAAUUACAUGGAGGCCUUUAAGAGGGUCCUAAGUUUACAUUAGGAUUUGCAAAUUCAAGUGUAUCUAUGAACCAGGAAGGUAACAUAAGUAAAUCAGACAAAUACAGGACCGGACUGUUAGUGCCAUCAGAUGAGGCCAGCUACUACUAGCUCUAACAGCUUGUGGGCUGAUAGGAAAGAGGAUCCAACAUCGCUGAAGUGGCUGAUUUUCAAUGACUGUGGACUUCUACAGAAAUUCUCCAAAUUAGAAAAAGUUGACACCCAAUUGAAACUUUAGAAAGGAAAACUAUGGAUGUGAGUUUAGGGCUGGGAACACAAGUCCUCUGGCGCAAAGCAUUCCUUCCAGCCGCAGAGCUGUGUGAAGGAAAGACAAAGGCGGAGAGGGCCCUGAUGGUGCAGCCAGGGCACCAAGGGCUGUCCAGAGGCCAGGAGGCCUGUCUGUGGCCACGGAGAGGGCAAGUGCCAAUUUGAAAGGAUAGAUGGGUGUGGCAAGGUCUCCUUUCCACCUUUCCAAGGUCAGGAUCUGCAAGGCUAUCCCUUCUUGGAGUGACUCGGAUAGUGAAGGUGGGGACGAGGGCCUUCAGGGAGCAGCAGUCUGCAGCCUCAAGCAUCCCCAAAGCCUGAAAGAAAGCUAUAAGCAGACCAGACUGCCUGCUGGGCUCCGCCACAUCCUAACACACUCACUUCUGGUGGUUCCUUCUCGGCUGCCCUCCUGGGGCUCCCAUUUUCGUGACUCUGAGUUUGUGACCCUUUGCAGACUCAGCUUGGCCCCCUCCUCACACACUGUGGUAGCUGACUGGCUUUCCUCCACAGCACCAUGGUGGUCGCAGGUGCUGAUCCACCGUGAGGGUCUGACCCUGGCAGCCUAGGUUUCAUCUUGCAGGUCCUCUGGUUCCCAAAGGGUGUGAGACAGAAAUAAUGCCAUGUGUUAAAGGACAAAAUUCCAACGCAUCACAUUUAAAGAUCAAAUUGGUUUUUGUCAGUGAUCCAUGAAUUCAGUGACAUCCCACCAAUUUUUAAAAAAAGAGCUAGAGAGGUAUGACAGCGGUAUAGCUCAUAGGUCCUGUGCUUCAUCGUAGUACUGAAGAAGAAAAAAACAACGUGUGUCUAAAAACUGAGCAGAGAAAGCUUGCUUUAUAAGCCACAAGGGGCUAAAGAAAGCGUAACUAAGGGACAAGCAGCAGACUGGCCGUUUCAAAGUGACUUUCCUUACAAGGUUAAGACGAAAGGGAGCUACCUUAUCAUACUAGCUAGGCACACUGGACUCUUUUCAACUGGUUGCUGCAAAUCUCCUGUUUUGAGGGAAAACCGGCUCAUUUUAAAGUUCAGUAUGAUCACAUAGCACCUAGCAACUUCUGGUCUGAUCUGUUGGGGCCCAGUGCAGGGGUUCAGUUCAAAACAAGGCCUCUCAUAAAUUUUGUUUAACACACGAAGAGAUGAUCUGGUGGACUUGAGCAAUCAAGCCAACACAAGAAGCAACCAAAGAUGGUACCAGCUUCCACAUCUGCCCCUCACUGUGUGCCAGGUACUCUGCUGUGCUUUAGUCAUGAGCUCUAGAAUGGGCUAGAAUUCUCACAGCGAUCCGUUAUCAUUAGGAGCCUUUAUCAUACUUAGUUUUAUGUUUGUUUAUUUGUUUUGAGACAGGGUAUCAUCAUGUAGUGCAGGCUGGUCUUGAACUCAUUUAUGUAACCCAGGUUGGCCUUGAACUCACAGUGAUCCUCCUGGCUCAGACUCCUGAGUACUGGUAUUACAGGCAUAAACCAUCACAUCUGGCUAUCAUACCCAUUUUAAAGAGAAGGAAUUGAGGCAGAGAGAAAGAGGCUAAUUUGCCUCGGGCCAUUUCUCUUUUCACACUUCUAUGGCUGUCGUCUGGAUGUCCCUGAAAGCCUCAUGGUGGGGUGCUUUUCAGAGGUGGCUGACUCUAGAGAAUGUGAUUGAUUCCUGGUCCAGUGCUGGGGUUAAGGGUAUACUCACGCAUCUUACAGUCAAUAGCCUGCAUCAACAUAAGGGACAAAAGGAGAUUUGCCUUUCUCUAGCUUUCUUGUUGCUCUUGCUGUCUUCCACCACCAUGAAUGGUUGCCCCUGUGCCAUGUGCCACCCUGCCUUGGAGCCAGCCAAUUACGGAAUGAAACCUCUACAAACUGUGAGCUAAAGAAACAUUUUUCCCCCUUAAUUCUGCGUGUUAAGUAUUUUGUCUGAGCAAUGAGAAAAGUACCUAAGACACCAACACAGACUCGGGAUUUUUGCUCAAGUGAUUUUUGCUUCGAAUGACCUCUGUACUUGGGAGGCCGAGACAGGAGGAUCACCAUGAGUCUGAGGCUACGCUCAGCUACAUAGUGAGUUCAAGGCCAGGAUGGCCUACAUAGUGAAAGCCUGUCACAACACAAAAACAAAAACAACAACAAAAAAUGACUUUUGGAGAAGGAACAGUGUGCCCUUGAACUCAUCGCAGACCAACACUUUCCUAUAAUGCAGUAAUGAAAUGAAUUCCUAGAAAAAUGAUCAGGCGCUCAGAAGAUGCGGCGAUAUCGAAUUGUUGUAGAAGUGGGCACAUCUGAGAAUUUACUCCAGUUCUAUCCUUAGCUCACAGCGUCCUAACACAGCACCCAGAGGAGUGUGCGCUCCUCCACGGGGCUGGGGUGUAAGGAUGUAAAAGUACCCGGUUGCCAAGCAAUGAAAGGAAUCUCUUGUCCAGAUUCCAGCGGCUGAACUGUUACCCUCCCCAGCUCAUCUUGGCCUUAAGGACUCGUGAGAGUCUCUCGCAUUGUGUUUCUGGAUUUGUGAUUUAGGGAGAGGCCUCCGGCCUUGCAUAGAAGUGAGUUGACUCCCUCCCUGAACCAAAAGGUUAAGAUCCAGGCUCCUUUUACAAUGUCCCAGCUCAGCAGGAAUGUUUGCAGGCCCAGCUGUUUCUGUUCAUGCAUUCAUUAAUAAAAGUAGUGAAUGCAGCAAAA
This is a long non-coding RNA of Cavia porcellus (domestic guinea pig), 5262 nucleotides long. RefSeq lists it as uncharacterized. NCBI's taxonomy places the organism in Eukaryota, Metazoa, Chordata, Mammalia, Rodentia, Caviidae. The record is from RefSeq and is a predicted model, not a curated record. The transcript is spliced from 3 exons.